Molecule: ribosomal RNA, 497 nt
Filed under: uncultured bacterium
Lineage: Bacteria
Description: partial 16S ribosomal RNA
Rfam family: Bacterial small subunit ribosomal RNA
Source: RNAcentral
GACGAACGCUGGCGGCGUGCCUAAUACAUGCAAGUCGAGCGAUGAAGAUUGGUGCUUGCCCCAAUUUGAAGAGCAGCGCACGGGUGAGUAACGCGUGGGGAAUCUGCCUUUGAGCGGGGGACAACAUUUGGAAACGAAUGCUAAUACCGCAUAACAACUUUAAACAUAAGUUUUAAGUUUGAAAGAUGCAAUUGCAUCACUCAAAGAUGAUCCCGCGUUGUAUUAGCUAGUUGGUGAGGUAAAGGCUCACCAAGGCGUUGAUACAUAGCCGACCUGAGAGGGUGGACGGCCAAAUUGGGAAUGGAACAAGGCCCAAACUCCUACGGGGGGGAGCAAGAGGGGAACUUCGGCAAUGGACGAAAGUCUGAACGAACAACGCCGGGGGAGUGAAGGAGGGUGUCGGAUCGUAAAACUCUGUUGGUAGGGGAGAAAGGUGGUGAGAGUGGAAAGCUCAUGAAGUGACGGUAACUACACAGAAAGGGACGGCUAACUACGUG